GAGAGUAUAGCUCAAGUGAUAGAGCACAUGCUUGGCAUACACAAGGUCCUGGGUUCAAUCCCCAGUACCUCCU
This 73-nucleotide transfer RNA is filed under the name Camelus bactrianus (Bactrian camel). It matches the Rfam family "tRNA". Rfam says of the family: Transfer RNA (tRNA) molecules are approximately 80 nucleotides in length. Their secondary structure includes four short double-helical elements and three loops (D, anti-codon, and T loops). Further hydrogen bonds mediate the characteristic L-shaped molecular structure. tRNAs have two regions of fundamental functional importance: the anti-codon, which is responsible for specific mRNA codon recognition, and the 3' end, to which the tRNAs corresponding amino acid is attached (by aminoacyl-tRNA synthetases). tRNAs cope with the degeneracy of the genetic code in two manners: having more than one tRNA (with a specific anti-codon) for a particular amino acid; and 'wobble' base-pairing, i.e. permitting non-standard base-pairing at the 3rd anti-codon position. RNAcentral also lists the same sequence under 3 other names. Lineage: Eukaryota; Metazoa; Chordata; Mammalia; Artiodactyla; Camelidae. The record is from Rfam by way of RNAcentral.